Leopardus geoffroyi (Geoffroy's cat) is the source of this 1529-nucleotide long non-coding RNA. RefSeq lists it as uncharacterized. The transcript is spliced from 4 exons. The record is from RefSeq and is a predicted model, not a curated record. NCBI's taxonomy places the organism in Eukaryota, Metazoa, Chordata, Mammalia, Carnivora, Felidae.
ACAUGGUAUAAUGGCUUUGAGCCCUGGCUUGGGUUUCUGGGCUCUUAUUAGCUGUGUCACUUGGGAAAGACCCUUAACCUUCCUAAGCUUCAGUUUCCUUAUUUUCAAAAUGCAGAUAUUCAUAGUACCUACUUUACAGGAUUACAUAAGGAUUAAAUGAGAUGAUAUAUGUAAAGCCCUUAGGAUAACUGCCUGGACCAUGCCUAUUUUUUGCAGGGCCUGGUACCUAGAAAUUGCUCAGAAUAUUAUAAAAAUUACCGAGUAGGAUGACCCUACCCACUUGUGAAGGCCAGCUCUACAGUGGCAUUCAAUGCUAUCCAAAGGAUAUUGACAUCUUGGACAUGGUCCAGGUUGAAGGUCUCACUAGCCAGAUUGUGCAUUGCUGCCAUUAGGGACUGCCAAGACUGGCCUGGAGACCUCAUGAUGCACCAAGACUGGGCCUGCUGCUAUUCCAGUGAAAUCAGGUUCUGUCAUAACAGGUUUUCCUUGGGAGAAAAGAGCCAUGGUCAACUAAGUUUGGGACACAGAUUUUAUUUGAGAGUCAGAAGCAUAAGUGGCAAUAAGGACUCUGAGAGCAAGAGAAAUGUGAGCUGUAACUUCACUGGGGCAACAAGAGACCAUAAUUAUCACACGGACAGCAAGACACUAAGGAGUUGACCCUGCAAACUGCAUCAUCCAGGAUCUUUUGCCCUCUGGCUUCCACCAUGGUUCAGUCGACAAGAGGUAACCUAUCCCCACCACCGCAAUGCCAAGAGCCUAAUGGUAGCUCCCUCUAUAACUACAGCUUCUGAUGGGCAGCAGCCUUCCAUAGCACUGGCUCAUGCCAGUCUCCCAAAAUAUUGCUGCCUCCCCUCACCUAAGAGUAGUAACAGCUUCUGGAUGCCUGGCGCCUCUCAUCACUUGUUGGUUUCCUCAACUGCAUCCAUACUUCUAGAAAUAGUCCAUUAAAUUCUCAUCAGAACCUAAUAGGAGAAUGUACAGUAUUCUGUUUCUGGCCAGGCCCCUGACUAAUAAAAUAAAUAUUUAUUAUAAGGUAGAGAGGGAGGGAAUAGAGUCCCAGUUUUGAGCCCCUACUAUAGGCCAAGCACAGGCACUGUUUAUAAAGAUAUUCAAUAAAUGCUGAUAAAUCUGAACAAAGGGGUAUGAGAGAGGAUUAAAAAAAAAACAGAUGUCACAAGAAUUUGAGACACAGGAAUCAGAUCCUUUCCAUCAGAUGACCCCCUUUCCCUAAUAUGGAAUGUGAACAGAAGAAAGAAACUCAGGAUUGAUUUAGUCUGAACAACAAAAUGCUAGCAUGUAUUAAGAUGUAAAAUAUCGUUCUCAGUUUUAAUGCAAUUCAAAGAGAAACGAUGUGGCAAGUGCAUGAUUUUUCUCUCUGCCAUUUAAUAUAGUUGGGUAUAUAGUGGACGUGAGUGGGUAUAACAUCAUUAAUGGAAUGACUAGUAUUCUCAAAUGCCUAACCACUUUUUGGAAUGAUUUACAAUUUUCUUUUUUUUAUGUUUAUUUAUUUUUGAGACAGAGUGUGAACA